Molecule: long non-coding RNA, 195 nt
Organism: Crotalus tigris (Tiger rattlesnake)
Lineage: Eukaryota; Metazoa; Chordata; Lepidosauria; Squamata; Viperidae
Exons: 3
Source: RefSeq, a predicted model, not a curated record
AUCAACAUAAUAGCAACUGGAUGUUAAUUUGUACUCAAAAUAAAUUCUCAGAAUGGAGAUAAGAGAUGGAAAAAGUACCAAGAAUUGCUACAGAUAACUCAGCACUGAACUGCAGCUUCAAGUUGAAAGACAUAAAAACAAGAUGUUUCCAAAAAGCCAGUAUAUUUAUAUUAUAAUUAAUAAUUAUAAUUAAAC